AUGUGGCUCUGCAUGUCUGAGAAGGAGAGGAGCAUGAUUCACAGUUCAGAAUACCCACGAAACCCAAAACGAAAUAUCAGAACGAAGCCCUGUUCAUCGUCUUCUCCAUCUCACCCUCGCCGGCACGAAGCUUUUCAGCACCGUUCAUCAUCUCACCCUCGCCGACACGAACCUUAUCAGCACCGUUCAUCAACUCACCCUCGCCGGCACGAAGUUAUUCUCGUUUUUGUUCUGAUUCCUCAUCCUCGCCGGCACGAAGCUUUUUUCGUCUAG
Vicia faba (fava bean) is the source of this 273-nucleotide non-coding RNA. The record is from the annotation of a GenBank genome assembly. NCBI's taxonomy places the organism in Eukaryota, Viridiplantae, Streptophyta, Magnoliopsida, Fabales, Fabaceae.